This 497-nucleotide ribosomal RNA is filed under the name uncultured bacterium. Its description in RNAcentral is "partial 16S ribosomal RNA". It matches the Rfam family "Bacterial small subunit ribosomal RNA", at positions 28 to 507 of the family's 1533-position model. The record is from RNAcentral.
GAUGAACGCUGGCGGCGUGCCUAAUACAUGCAAGUCGAGCGAACAGACGAGGAGCUUGCUCCUCUGACGUUAGCGGCGGACGGGUGAGUAACACGUGGAUAACCUACCUAUAAGACUGGGAUAACUUCGGGAAACCGGAGCUAAUACCGAAUAACAUGUUGAACCGCAUGGUUUAACAGUGAAAGACGGUCUUGCUGUCACUUAUAGAUGGAUCCGCGCCGCAUUAGCUAGUUGGUAAGGUAACGGCUUACCAAGGCAACGAUGCGUAGCCGACCUGAGAGGGUGAUCGGCCACACUGGAACUGAGACACGGUCCAGACUCCUACGGGAGGCAGCAGUAGGGAAUCUUUCGCAAUGGGCGAAAGCCUGACGGAGCAACGCCGCGUGAGCGAAGAAGGUCUUCGGAUCGUAAAACUCUGUUAUUAGGGAAGAACAAAUGUGUAAGUAACUAUGCACGUCUCGACGGUACCUAAUCAGAAAGCCACGGCUAACUACGUG